GCGUCGUUCAACGGCAGGACGCCGGAUUGUCGAUCCGGUCAUGCGGGUUCGAAUCCCGCCGCCCCA
Molecule: transfer RNA, 66 nt
Filed under: Acetobacteraceae bacterium
Lineage: Bacteria; Pseudomonadati; Pseudomonadota; Alphaproteobacteria; Acetobacterales; Acetobacteraceae
Description: tRNA-Asp
Rfam family: tRNA
About the family: Transfer RNA (tRNA) molecules are approximately 80 nucleotides in length. Their secondary structure includes four short double-helical elements and three loops (D, anti-codon, and T loops).
Source: RNAcentral